AGAGAUGUGUGAUGACGCAUAUCAAUAAGCGGAGGAAAAGAAACUAACUAGGAUUCCCUCAGUAACGGCGAGUGAAGCGGGAAGAGCUCAAAUUUGAAAUCUUCAAGGGUUUCCCUUGACGAAUUGUAGUUUAAAGAAGUGUUUUCUGUUAGAGAGGUGGUAAAAGUUCUUUGGAAUAGGACAUCAUAGAGGGUGAGAAUCCCGUAUUUGAUCAUUCCUUCUAAGCUUUGUGAUACACUUUCAAAGAGUCGGAUUGUUUGGGAAUGCAGUCCAAAAUGGGUGGUAAAUUUCAUCUAAAGCUAAAUAUUGGCGAGAGACCGAUAGCGAACAAGUACCGUGAGGGAAAGAUGAAAAGAACUUUGAAAAGAGAGUUAAACAGUACGUGAAAUUGUCAAAAGGGAAGCGUUUGACACCAGUGUUGUUUUUCCGAAAAUCAAUUACGAAUGGUUUGAUUUUGAGAGUUAUGACCUUCAUACGCUUGCUUCUCUCUUUACUGUACUUUCGUAAUGCACUUUUCGGUUAGCAAGUCAACAUCAAUUUCUUUUGUUGUAAAAGGGUAUGAGGAAGGUGGCUUUACUUUCGGAGUAAAGUGUUUAUAGCCUUGUAGCCUCUGCAAUCGGAGAGAUUGAGGUCUGCAGCGUAGAUCCUUCGGGGUUAGAUACAGUUUGUGCUAAGUUAUAGCCUUUCAUAGACAACUUGUUGACUAUGUUAGUCUUGUAGACUUACUCGCUUAUGCUAUUUUACCUACGCUUAGGAUGUUGAAGAUGUAGCACAUCAU
Molecule: ribosomal RNA, 778 nt
Filed under: uncultured Neocallimastigales
Lineage: Eukaryota; Fungi; Neocallimastigomycota; Neocallimastigomycetes; Neocallimastigales
Description: partial large subunit ribosomal RNA
Rfam family: Eukaryotic large subunit ribosomal RNA
Source: RNAcentral